RNAcentral lists this unclassified non-coding RNA (395 nucleotides) under soil metagenome. Its description in RNAcentral is "partial contains 5.8S ribosomal RNA, internal transcribed spacer 2, and large subunit ribosomal RNA". The stretch from base 1 to 121 matches the Rfam family "5.8S ribosomal RNA", at positions 35 to 154 of the family's 154-position model. The record is from RNAcentral.
GAUGAAGAACGUAGCGAACGUGCGAAACGUAAUGUGAAUUGCAGAAUUCAGUGAAUCAUCGAAUCUUUGAACGCAUCUUGCGCUCCUUGGUAUUCCGAGGAGCAUGCCUGUUUGAGUGUCGUGAAUACUCUCAACUUCAACCCUUUUUUCGGAAAGGAAGGAAGGUUGGACUUGGGUGUUUGUUGAAGUGCGAGCUUCGACUCAUCCUAAAUGCAUUAGCGAUCUGCCUCGAUCACACACAAUGUGAUAAUUAAAACUAAAGCAUUGUUUAAUGAUCAAGUCGAGACUGCUUCUAACUGUCGCAAGACAAUAACGUGCAUACAUUUGUGCAUGUCAUUUGACCUCAAAUCAGGUAGGACUACCCGCUGAACUUAAGCAUAUCAAUAAGCGGAGGA